RNAcentral lists this long non-coding RNA (5279 nucleotides) under Brachypodium distachyon (stiff brome). RNAcentral describes it as "long non-coding RNA (BDIS_LNC000314)". The record is from RNAcentral. Lineage: Eukaryota; Viridiplantae; Streptophyta; Magnoliopsida; Poales; Poaceae.
GGUACGAUUUGAUCGAUCGACCUACACCAAAUUUUGUUCUUCUUUCUCCGUUUGCGUUUUCUUCUCUGAUGGAUGGAGUUCAAAUUGGUGGUCGCGGCGCGUUAUAUAUAUAUGCAGGGGAUGAGAAGAAGACGGGGCUACUGACGGGGCUGCCGGGCGCGACGGAGCGGCUUGUUCUGUUCGAGGCGGACAUCUACGACGCCGCCUCCUUCGAGCCGGCCAUCGCCGGCUGCGAGUUCGUCUUCCUCGUCGCCACCCCACUGCAGCACAACGCCGGCACCUCCAAGGUAAUUUGAUUCAUUCACUCGUUAAUUUUUUUUAGCCAGUCGAAGAAUCUGUCAGUCCAUUUUCUGAUUUCGCAGUACAAGGACACGACGGAGGCGCUGGUGGACGCGACGCGCGCCAUCCUGCAGCAGUGCGAGCGGUCCAAGACGGUGAGGCGAGUCAUCCACACGGGCUCCGUUCUCGCGGCGGCGCCGCUCCGGGAGGACGGCACCGGGUUCGAGGACUUCGUCGACGAAUCCUGCUGGACCCCGCUCGGACUGCAAUACGACCACAGCAACGAGAUAAUGGACGUGAGUGCGCUAAUUCCUCCUGUCACAUGUUUAUGGCCUGAUACCGACACGGCGACACGGCGACACCUUUCAAGUAUGUUUUCACAAAAACACGGCGUUUAUUAGAAAUUGCUGAAUGAUAGAUUCCACUAGGCAUAGGCCGGCACAGCAAGGUCAGGGGUUGACAAAAUAGGCAGCGGCGGCUGGGCCGAUGGGCGGCGCAAAGAAAAAGAAUAGAGAAAAGGGCCACAAAUGUAGAUCUGAGGCCCGCCCAAAGCCAGGAGGCCAACACAAAGUCACAAAAGAAGAACGGAAGGUCCUCUCAAAAAAAGAAGAAGAACGUAAGGUAGACUAGAACGAAAGACGGAAAGAGGUUGCAUAAGAACUCGGAAUUAAAAUUAUGAAUUUGGAAUUAAAAUUCGGACUGCUCAGAUAGAAACUAGUACUACUCCAUUCCGUACAGUAGUACUUCCUCCGUUUCAUACUUCUUGUCGAAAUUUUAUAUGUAUCUAGACGCUUUUUAAGAAUAUGUACAUCCAUUUUUGGACAAAUUUGAGACAAGAAUUAUGAAACGAAGGGAGUACUUCUUACUGCUCCUUAAGGCUUAAUUGAUCACGUUUGACUUCCAUGAAUGGACGCACGUGCAGGCUUACAUACCAUCCAAGACCCUGUCCGAGAAGGAGCUACUGAAGCACAACUCCGAGGGCGAGUCCACGGCGUUCGACGUCGUGGUCCUGCUGUGCGGCCUCGUCGGAGGGGACGCCCUCCUGCCGUAUGUCCCCGACAGCAUGCAGGUUGUGAUAUCGCCCCUCACUGGCAUCGGGCCCUACCACGGCUCCCUCAAGUUCAUGCAGGCCCUCCUGGGCUCCGUGCCGCUGGUCCACGUCGACGAUGUCUGCGAAGCCCACGUCUUCUGCAUGGACUCCGCCAAAGUCUCUGCCGGCGGCGGCAGGUUUCUCUGCGCCACGGCGCGGCCCAACAUGGAAGACAUUGUUAAGCACUACGCGGCCAAGCACCCGGAGCUCAAGCUGCUGAUCCCAGAGUACGUGUAUAUAGACGCGAAUGAAUUCAGUGGUUUUAACAUCGAUUACUUUGUGGUGGUUAAUGUGUUUUGGUUUUGUGUGUGGGGUUGUUGGUAUUAGGGUCGUUGGAGAGGGGGUGAGCGUGCAGGCUAACACGAACAAGCUUGUGGAGAUGGGCUUCGAGUUCAAGUACGGAGCAGAGGCGGUGCUGGAUGGCAGCGUGGAGUGCGGCAAGAGGUUGGGAUUGCUGUGAUAUGCCUCCACGCAUGACGACAUAUUGUUGGGUUUGAAUGAAGAAUUGUACUACAGUUUGAUUUGAAUAUAUUGUCACACUCACACCCAUGACAUAUUGUCUCGGGUUGUUCGUUUGCAUCCUUCCGAUAUCCUAGUGCUUUUUUAGACGUUUUGUAUUUGGUGUUUUAAUUUUUCAAGAAAAACCAAAAGGGCCUCAACUGAUAUGUCGAAAUAUGCAGGUAAGCAAAAACCAGACGCGGAGGGUACAAAACCCGAUCGGUAAGUUGAUAAUAUGAUGAAAACCACACAAAAGUAUGGGCACCACAAAUGCACCUCGCCCCGCCGCAAUUUAAGAAUUUGGGGUACGUGACGCCGUUGGGUUGUCUCAGAUUUGGUGGCGGCGGAGCUUUAUGGUGGUCGGUAGCGAUGGAUUUGAGAAAAUUGCGCCGUGGCGAACGAGGGGAGGUGAGGGCAGAAAUGAAGGGAUCGUCGGGUAAAUUAGCCCCUGAGCCCUAUAUAUGAUGUGCAUGAGGGCCGAUUUAGGUGCCCGUAAAAAUUUAUACAUGCUGAUCAAGUUUACAAGCACAGGCUGCACCAUAUUUUACGUCGAAACCCUUAAACUUUACAGGUCGGGGCUAAAAGUGAUAUAAGAUCCGCUAGAGAUGCUCUUGUGAAGUACACUGUCUCUUGUGCGGUUUGAGUUUGACCAACUCCAGCCAUGCACUACGGCAGGGCACGUGACCUGAUAGUACCUCGCAGCCACGAGACACAUUGGUGUAUCGGACAACCACACAGCCCAUUGUUAUACACCGAGAUUCAAUAAUGUCUUAGUUAUCUUGUUCGCAAAAAAUGUAUAAAAGAUAAAUGGACACAUUUGGGCACUGGGUCAUGAAGUACUGUGACUGUGAGGAUAUGAAACCGGGACACUUGGGUGCUGGAUCAUAAACCGUGACUGUGAGGACGUGAAGCGGCCGGGACCGGGGAUAUGUGUCCUCGUACAUGAAGAUGUACCAGUCAAAGACUCGUACAGUAUAAAAUUUGACCCAAUCGACCACAUGAUGUCUAAUUCAAGCCACCGAAGCGGAUUUUGCGCAUAUUAUAUAUACGUCACAUCGAUCCUUGACUUAUCAAAGUUCAGGGUCAGCAAGACAAUCAGCUAUACAGGACAACUUUUGUGAUGCAUGCUAGAUCUUCCUGCCCCCAACGCACGUCGUUGACUCGGGAAUAAAUCUGCCUAUUUAACUUGCCACUCAGUACGCCGUUGGAGUGAAUCAGCAUAUAAGAUAAGAUUAUAGCUGUCAAAAAGAUUAGCGGGGAUGAUUAACCCCCCGGGAACCAUGUGGACAUGUUGUUGGAAUCUCCAGCUAGCACCCUACGUAUAGGCGGCACUCGUAUGGUAAUUAACUAGAUUGCGCCUUAGCCGCCAGGCACAUUAAGAGUAAUCAAAUGAUCGAUCAGCACCAGAUAGGACGAACCGACGGUAGAUCCUCGUUUCACUUUCAUGACGAUCGUCCUCAGCUAGCUGGAUCUAUGAAAUCAAAACGCGUGCAACCCAAAUAAGUCGUUAAUUCGAUCGUCAGUCGUCACAAGAUCUAGGAUAUACUCCUAUAUGGGAUUAUGGAUACCACCACUUGUACACUUGCUUAAUUUGUACACUUGGUUUGACAUCUCAAAUUAAGCUUGAUGUCUUGCGGGUGUAGGCAUGCACAGAAAAAUGUAUUGUUUCCUUUUCUUCUUCGAGACUCGAGAGGUACAUGUAAUGUAGCUUAGUCCACAUUAUACAGUUUGGAGUAGACUUUGGACCUCAGGAUUUGCUUUAAUAUUAGCACGUCCACUUAACGACCUCUGUCGGAAUAACCGGACGAUGUAUGCGUCAAACUGCAAGCCAAUCAUGCAUGCACUGAUGUACGUAGCUGCAUGACCAUUCGGUGGAUCUCAUAUCGUAUGGAUUUCUUGAAAACCCAGACCUUAGAUGCCGGGUCGUCGAUCACCAAUUUUAGACUUGCGAUGCCAUUAAAGUGGACCACACGUCGUACACAUACUAUAAUGUUAUACAAAUGAUUAACCAACCAUUAUAACGCAUAAGCAUAGCCUACACAAGCAUGAAAAUCCGCCAAAUGGACUAGCAAAUAAUAAUAAUAAUGCCAAUUUAACCCAUCAGCCCCUCCAAUCUCAACGUAGAUAACCUUUCAUAUUUUGUCGGAUGCAGGUUAAGUGGAGUCUGACAAAAAAUAUUGAAGAUUGGAGAAAUCAAUUAAGCGUAGGUCCUAGCAUUUUUACAAUUUUUACUCUCAACCCAUAGGCGGCUGGGCCAAACAUGUCAUUUGGCCCAAGAGAAGGGCGAGGUCCUUACGGGGCUGCCCAAAUAACAUGCUUUGUCGUCUUAGGUUUCACACUCGGCAAAGAGUUUUCUUUUCGUUGGCCUCCCUUUUUAAUUUUUGUUAAGCAUAGUACUAUUUGUCCCAAGUUUAUGUAUCCAAAGUAAGCGGGUGGCUAUCUUUAAGUCGUCUGAUUUUUAAGAAAUGAGUCUUAAAUAUCAGUCGACGUUUCUAAACCGCUGGGUUAAUCGUUGGAUUGAGAUCCGAUGGCUAACAUAUCAAUUAAUCUCUGCCUAAAAAUCAAGCGACUACUCCAGCCACGGGUGCACAGCUGUGCAGGUUACUCUGCUGGGUAGUUUCGGUACAAUAUGCGGUGAGUUUACGCACCUUCUGUCGUCACAUGCCUGGCACAUAUAUAUUGUUCGGAGAAACUGCAGCGCUCGAUCUUUACAAAGUCUCUGUACCGGCCUCCCGCAAUCCGCGAUGGUGGUGCCUUGAGGAGAACAACAUCCAGGAUUAAUAUAUGGGUUAAUAUGGUAAUAUAUGGCCAUCGUGUCGUGAGUCCUGACGUGCAGCACCGCCCGGCCUGCGCUUACACAUCGGCGUACUACUGGUACUAGAAAACUCAGGUCUUGGCCCACGCAGCUAGCGCGCUCACUUACUUAAAGCGGCAGGAAGUGCCGAUCCAGCAGGCAGUGACCAGAAGAAAGAGCGAGUAACACAGCAGAAAAGAGAAGAGACUGAUCGAGGCCGGAGAUCAUGAGCAGCCGGGUGUGCGUGACCGGAGCCGCCGGCUACAUCGCGGCCUGGCUCGUCAGGAAGCUCCUGGAGCGCGGCUGCGUCGUCCACGCCACCUUGCGGAACCUCGGUACGUGCUUGCCCGUGUAUUAUACAAACAUCGAUCGCUGUCGUGUCAGCCGAUCGAUCUCGCCAAUUAAGCUCUGGAUUGUAAGCUGCAAGUAAACUGAAAGAAGAACGCAUGAUUAAUUUGAUCCAUGUAUGCCGACAGGGGAUGAGAAGAAGACGGGGCUGCUGAGGGAGCUCCCUGGCGCGGCGGAGCGGCUGGUGCUGUUCCAGGCGGACAUCUACGACGCCGCCACCUUCGAGCCGGCCAUCGCCGGCUGCGAGUUCGUCUUCCUCGUCGCCACCCC